GACGAACGCUGGCGGCGUGCCUAAUACAUGCAAGUCGAGCGCAGGAAACUGACGGAACUCUUCGGAGGGAAGGCAGUGGAAUGAGCGGCGGACGGGUGAGUAACACGUAGGGAACCUGCCUCAAGGAUUGGGAUAACUCCGAGAAAUCGGAGCUAAUACCGGAUAGUUCAUCGGACCGCAUGGUCCGUUGAUGAAAGGCGCUCCGGCGUCACCUUGAGAUGGCCUUGCGGUGCAUUAGCUAGUUGGUGGGGUAACGGCCCACCAAGGCGACGAUGCAUAGCCGACCUGAGAGGGUGCUCGGGCACACUGGGACUGAGACACGGCCCAGACUCCUACGGGAGGCAGCAGUAGGGAAUCUUCCACAAUGGACGAAAGUCUGAUGGAGCAACGCCACGUGAGUGAUGAAGGUUUUCGGAUCGUAAAACUCUGUUGUAAGGGAAGAACACGUACGAGAGGGAAUGCUCGUACCUUGACGGUACCUUACGAGAAAGCCACGGCUAACUACGUGCCAGCCGCCGCCGUAA
Molecule: ribosomal RNA, 524 nt
Filed under: uncultured bacterium
Lineage: Bacteria
Description: partial 16S ribosomal RNA
Rfam family: Bacterial small subunit ribosomal RNA
Source: RNAcentral